GCUGUGACCCCUCAUGUCAAAGUGAGGAAAUUCGAUGAAGCGGGGGUAAACGGCGGGACAUAAUUAAGAGUCUCUUGAGGUAGCCCAAUGCCUCGUCAUCUAAUUAGUUAGGCAUAUUAAU
This 121-nucleotide non-coding RNA is filed under the name Salmo salar (Atlantic salmon). RNAcentral's name for it is "Eukaryotic large subunit ribosomal RNA". It matches the Rfam family "Eukaryotic large subunit ribosomal RNA", at positions 2200 to 2320 of the family's 3401-position model. The record is from Rfam by way of RNAcentral. Lineage: Eukaryota; Metazoa; Chordata; Actinopteri; Salmoniformes; Salmonidae.